AUUUUCCUAGUAUAAAAAGUACAAAUGACUUCCAAUCAUUUAGUCUUGGUUAAACUCCAAGGAAAGAUA
This 69-nucleotide transfer RNA is filed under the name Polypterus teugelsi. RNAcentral's name for it is "tRNA-Gly". It matches the Rfam family "tRNA". From Rfam's summary of the family: Transfer RNA (tRNA) molecules are approximately 80 nucleotides in length. Their secondary structure includes four short double-helical elements and three loops (D, anti-codon, and T loops). Further hydrogen bonds mediate the characteristic L-shaped molecular structure. tRNAs have two regions of fundamental functional importance: the anti-codon, which is responsible for specific mRNA codon recognition, and the 3' end, to which the tRNAs corresponding amino acid is attached (by aminoacyl-tRNA synthetases). tRNAs cope with the degeneracy of the genetic code in two manners: having more than one tRNA (with a specific anti-codon) for a particular amino acid; and 'wobble' base-pairing, i.e. permitting non-standard base-pairing at the 3rd anti-codon position. Lineage: Eukaryota; Metazoa; Chordata; Cladistia; Polypteriformes; Polypteridae. The record is from RNAcentral.